GAUGAACGCUGGCGGCGUGCCUAAUACAUGCAAGUCGAACGGAGAACUAGCUUGCUAGUUCUUAGUGGCGAACGGGUGAGUAAUACAUAAAUAAUCUGCCCAUAUGACUGGGAUAACUAUUGGAAACGAUAGCUAAUACCGGAUAGGUUAAUUGAAGGCAUCUUCGAUUAAUUAAAGUAGGUUUUCUACACAAAUGGAUGAGUUUAUGGCGCAUUAGUUAGUUGGUGGGGUAACGGCCUACCAAGACGAUGAUGCGUAGCCGACCUGAGAGGGUGACCGGCCACACUGGGACUGAGACACGGCCCAGACUCCUACGGGAGGCAGCAGUAGGGAAUUUUCGGCAAUGGGCGCAAGCCUGACCGAGCAACGCCGCGUGAGUGAUUAAGGCCUUCGGGUUGUAAAGCUCUGUGUAAGGGAAGAACAAUCAG
This 428-nucleotide ribosomal RNA is filed under the name uncultured bacterium. Its description in RNAcentral is "bacterial SSU rRNA". It matches the Rfam family "Bacterial small subunit ribosomal RNA", at positions 28 to 456 of the family's 1533-position model. The record is from RNAcentral.